GUGGGGAAUCUUGCACAAUGGGCGAAAGCCUGAUGCAGCCAUGCCGCGUGAAUGAUGAAGGCCUUAGGGUUGUAAAAUUCUUUCGUCAGGGAUGAUAAUGACCGUACCUGAAGAAGAAGCCCCGGCUAACUUCGUGCCAGCAGCCGCGGUAAUACGAAGGGGGCUAGCGUUGUUCGGAAUUACUGGGCGUAAAGCGCACGUAGGCGGAUUUUUAAGUCAGGUGUGAAAUCCCGGGGCUCAACCUCGGAACUGCAUUUGAAACUGGAAGUCUUGAGACCAGGAGAGGUUAGCGGAAUACCGAGUGUAGAGGUGAAAUUCGUAGAUAUUCGGUGGAACACCAGUGGCGAAGGCGGCUAACUGGACUGGUACUGACGCUGAGGUGCGAAAGUGUGGGGAGCAAACAGGAUUAGAUACCCCAGUAGUCC
This 425-nucleotide ribosomal RNA is filed under the name uncultured bacterium. RNAcentral's name for it is "bacterial SSU rRNA". It matches the Rfam family "Bacterial small subunit ribosomal RNA", at positions 354 to 796 of the family's 1533-position model. The record is from RNAcentral.